RNAcentral lists this ribosomal RNA (365 nucleotides) under uncultured bacterium. RNAcentral describes it as "bacterial SSU rRNA". It matches the Rfam family "Bacterial small subunit ribosomal RNA", at positions 527 to 896 of the family's 1533-position model. The record is from RNAcentral.
GGAGGAUCCAAGCGUUAUCCGGAAUCAUUGGGUUUAAAGGGUCCGUAGGCGGUCCGGUAAGUCAGUGGUGAAAGCCCAUCGCUCAACGGUGGAACGGCCAUUGAUACUGCUGGACUUGAAUUACUGGGAAGCAACUAGAAUAUGUAGUGUAGCGGUGAAAUGCUUAGAGAUUACAUGGAAUACCAAUUGCGAAGGCAGGUUGCUACCAGUGGAUUGACGCUGAUGGACGAAAGCGUGGGUAGUGAACAGGAUUAGAUACCCUGGUAGUCCACGCCGUAAACGACGGAUACUAGCUGUUGGGAGCAAUCUCAGUGGCUAAGCGAAAGUGAUAAGUAUCCCACCUGGGGAGUACGUUCGCAAGAAUG